Molecule: ribosomal RNA, 253 nt
Filed under: uncultured bacterium
Lineage: Bacteria
Description: partial 16S ribosomal RNA
Rfam family: Bacterial small subunit ribosomal RNA
Source: RNAcentral
UACGUAGGUGGCAAGCGUUAUCCGGAUUUAUUGGGCGUAAAGGGAACGCAGGCGGUCUUUUAAGUCUGAUGUGAAAGCCUUCGGCUUAACCGGAGUAGUGCAUUGGAAACUGGGAGACUUGAGUGCAGAAGAGGAGAGUGGAACUCCAUGUGUAGCGGUGAAAUGCGUAGAUAUAUGGAAGAACACCAGUGGCGAAAGCGGCUCUCUGGUCUGUAACUGACGUUGAGGUUCGAAAGCGUGGGUAGCAAACAGG